RNAcentral lists this ribosomal RNA (486 nucleotides) under uncultured bacterium. RNAcentral describes it as "bacterial SSU rRNA". It matches the Rfam family "Bacterial small subunit ribosomal RNA", at positions 28 to 511 of the family's 1533-position model. The record is from RNAcentral.
GAUGAACGCUAGCGGGAGGCCUAAUACAUGCAAGUCGAACGGGUGAAUUAGCUUCGGUUGGUUCACUAGUGGCGCACGGGUGAGUAACGCGUACGCAAUCUGCCCUAUGCUGGGGAAUAGCCCUGGGAAACUGGGAGUAAUACGCCAUAGUUCUACGGAUCUGCAUGGAUUUGUAGAUAAAGCUGCGGCGGCAUAGGAUGAGCGUGCGUCUGAUUAGGUAGUUGGUGAGGUAACGGCUCACCAAGCCGACGAUCAGUAAGGGGCGUGAGAGCGUGGCCCCUCACACGGGUACUGAGACACGGACCCGACUCCUACGGGAGGCAGCAGUAAGGAAUAUUGGACAAUGGGCGCAAGCCUGAUCCAGCCAUCCCGCGUGCUUGAUGAAGGCCCUCUGGGUUGUAAAGAGCUUUAGUCUGGGAAGAAACCGUUUUCUGCGGAAGACGCUGACGGUACCAGAAGAAUAAGCACCGGCUAACUCCGUGCCAG